This 1519-nucleotide ribosomal RNA is filed under the name Clostridioides difficile. RNAcentral's name for it is "partial 23S ribosomal RNA". It matches the Rfam family "Bacterial large subunit ribosomal RNA", at positions 673 to 2210 of the family's 2925-position model. The record is from RNAcentral. Lineage: Bacteria; Bacillati; Bacillota; Clostridia; Peptostreptococcales; Peptostreptococcaceae.
GAAAGCGAGUUUUAACUGAGCGUUCAGUUACUUGACGUAGACCCGAAACCGGGCGACCUACCCAUGAGCAGGAUGAAGCGAAAGUAAAAUUUCGUGGAGGUCCGAACCCACGAGCGUUGAAAAGCUCGGGGAUGACUUGUGGGUAGCGGUGAAAUUCCAAUCGAGCCCGGAGAUAGCUGGUUCUCCCCGAAAUAGCUUUAGGGCUAGCCUCAAGGUGAGAGAUACGGAGGUAGAGCACUGAAUGUCCUAGGGGGUAUUGCACCUACCGAAGACUAUCAAACUCCGAAUGCCGUCAUCUUAUACUUGGGAGUCAGACUGUGGGUGAUAAGAUUCAUAGUCGAAAGGGCAACAGCCCAGAUCGUCAGCUAAGGUCCCUAAAUGUAAGUUAAGUGGUAAAGGAUGUGGGAUUGCACAGACAACCAGGAUGUUGGCUUAGAAGCAGCCACUCAUUCAAAGAGUGCGUAAUAGCUCACUGGUCGAGUGAUCCUGCGCCGAAGAUUUCCGGGGCUAAAACUUACUACCGAAGCUACGGCAUCAGUAAUGAUGGGUAGGGGAGCUUCCCAUACGGGUUGAAGCAUGACCGUAAGGACAUGUGGACAGUAUGGGAGUGAGAAUGUUGGCAUGAGUAGCGAGAUGUGGGUGAGAAUCCCACAGGCCGUAAACCCAAGGUUUCCAGGGGAAGGUUCGUCCGCCCUGGGUUAGUCGGGACCUAAGCUGAGGCCGAAAGGCGUAGGUGAUGGACAACAGGUUGAUAUUCCUGUACUACCGAUAACCGUUUGAGAGAUGGGAUGACACAGUAGGAUAAGCUAAGCACACUGUUGGUUAUGUGUGCCCAAGCAUUGAGGCAGUCAAAGUAGGCAAAUCCGCUUUGAUAAUGCUGGGAUGUGAUGGGGAGCGAAAUUUAGUAGCGAAGUAGCUGAUUUCACACUGUCAAGAAAAGUCUCUAUCGAGGUUAAAGGUACCCGUACCGCAAACCGACACAGGUGGGUGAGGAGAGUAUCCUAAGGCCAGCGAGAGAACUGUUGUUAAGGAACUCGGCAAAAUGACCCCGUAACUUAGGGAUAAGGGGUGCCACCAUCAGGUGGCCGCAGAGAAUAGGCCCAAGCGACUGUUUACCAAAAACAUAGGUUUCUGCUAAGUCGCAAGACGAUGUAUAGGAGCUGACGCCUGCCCGGUGCUGGAAGGUUAAGGGGAUCUGUUAGAGCAAUCGAAGCAGUGAACUUAAGCCCCAGUAAACGGCGGCCGUAACUAUAACGGUCCUAAGGUAGCGAAAUUCCUUGUCGGGUAAGUUCCGACCCGCACGAAAGGCGUAACGAUUUGGGCACUGUCUCAACAACAGACUCGGUGAAAUUGUAAUUCCGGUGAAGAUGCCGGAUACCUGCGACAGGACGGAAAGACCCCAUGGAGCUUUACUGUAGCUUGACAUUGGGUCUUGGUACUACAUGUACAGGAUAGGUGGGAGGCUUUGAAACCAGGACGCCAGUUUUGGCGGAGCCAUCCUUGGGAUACCACCCUUGUA